AGGUGAAAAUAUAAAAUAAAUAUAUGUCAAUCCAGAGGUGAAAAUAUAAAAUAAAUAUAUGUCAAUCCAGAGGUGAAAAUAUAAAAUAAAUAUAUGUCAAUCCAGAGGUGAAAAUAUAAAAUAAAUAUAUGUCAAUCCAGAGGUGAAAAUAUAAAAUAAAUAUAUGUCAAUCCAGAGGUGAAAAUAUAAAAUAAAUAUAUGUCAAUCCAGAGGUGAAAAUAUAAAAUAAAUAUAUGUCAAUCCAGAGGUGAAAAUAUAAAAUAAAUAUAUGUCAAUCCAGAGGUGAAAAUAUAAAAUAAAUAUAUGUCAAUCCAGAGGUGAAAAUAUAAAAUAAAUAU
Long non-coding RNA from Carassius gibelio (silver crucian carp), 338 nucleotides. RefSeq lists it as uncharacterized. The record is from RefSeq and is a predicted model, not a curated record. NCBI's taxonomy places the organism in Eukaryota, Metazoa, Chordata, Actinopteri, Cypriniformes, Cyprinidae. The transcript is spliced from 4 exons.